Dioscorea cayenensis subsp. rotundata (Guinea yam) is the source of this 107-nucleotide small nucleolar RNA. Lineage: Eukaryota; Viridiplantae; Streptophyta; Magnoliopsida; Dioscoreales; Dioscoreaceae. The record is from RefSeq and is a predicted model, not a curated record.
AAUCCGUGUUGUGGGCACUUUCGCAAAAGGUCUUCAAAACGCUCCUAUGUCUCAGACAAGGACUCAAGCUCCAUCUGAACAAACGGUGAAAUCUCAUUACGAAGUAU